ACAACUUCAGCUGAGGAACUUGGCACGGCCAGCUUGGGACCCAGGACCCUAACGCAGAGGCGCUGUGUUUGGAAGUCCCGCUAUCACGGCCCCCCAGAUGGGGCCUGGACGAUGCCUCCUGACGGCCUUGUUGCUUCUGGCCCUGGCGCCACCGCCGGAAGCCUCCCAGUACUGCGGCCGCCUUGAAUACUGGAACCCAGACAACAAGUGCUGCAGCAGCUGCCUGCAACGCUUCGGGCCGCCCCCCUGCCCGGGUGAGAAUCCGAGACCGAGCCUUGCUUGGGCGGAGCUUGCAGGUGAUAGGGAGCGGGGAAGGGGCGAGGUCUGUGGGCUACGGGCCAGAGAGGCUUGCUUAGGGGUCUAAGCGGUGGGCCUUAUGCAGAUCAGACAGGGAUGGCAGGCAGAGCCUGUGCAGACAGUGCGGGCUACCGUAGGGCAACAGCGAAGGGAUAUGGCUGGAGAGGCGGGAUAGGGGCCGCGUGGAAAGGGUGGGCUUUAUGUAGAGAAGCCGGGAGUGGGCGGAGCUUCGUGCAGAACA
RNAcentral lists this small RNA (538 nucleotides) under Pan troglodytes (chimpanzee). Its description in RNAcentral is "retained intron". The record is from RNAcentral. Lineage: Eukaryota; Metazoa; Chordata; Mammalia; Primates; Hominidae.